This 75-nucleotide non-coding RNA is filed under the name unclassified sequences. Its description in RNAcentral is "L13-Bacteroidia ribosomal protein leader". It matches the Rfam family "L13-Bacteroidia ribosomal protein leader". The record is from RNAcentral.
GGGUACCCUCUGGUAUACCCAAAUCUGCGUGUAAAUAGUCCGUUUCCAUUGGCCUGGACGGGCGGUUUGUGAAUC